Molecule: ribosomal RNA, 496 nt
Filed under: uncultured bacterium
Lineage: Bacteria
Description: partial 16S ribosomal RNA
Rfam family: Bacterial small subunit ribosomal RNA
Source: RNAcentral
AUGAACGCUGGCGGCGUGCCUAAUACAUGCAAGUAGAGCGCUGAAGGAAGGAGCUUGCUCUUUCCGGAUGAGUUGCGAACGGGUGAGUAACGCGUAGGUAACCUGCCUGGUAGCGGGGGAUAACUAUUGGAAACGAUAGCUAAUACCGCAUAACAGUAGAUGUUGCAUGAUAUCUACUUAAAAGGUGCAAUUGCACCACUACCAGAUGGACCUGCGUUGUAUUAGCUAGUUGGUGAGGUAACGGCUCACCAAGGCGACGAUACAUAGCCGACCUGAGAGGGUGAUCGGCCACACUGGGACUGAGACACGGCCCAGACUCCUACGGGAGGCAGCAGUAGGGAAUCUUCGGCAAUGGACGGAAGUCUGACCGAGCAACGCCGCGUGAGUGAAGAAGGUUUUCGGAUCGUAAAGCUCUGUUGUAAGAGAAGAACGAGUGUGAGAGUGGAAAGUUCACACUGUGACGGUAUCUUACCAGAAAGGGACGGCUAACUACGUG